RNAcentral lists this ribosomal RNA (297 nucleotides) under uncultured bacterium. Its description in RNAcentral is "partial 16S ribosomal RNA". It matches the Rfam family "Bacterial small subunit ribosomal RNA", at positions 475 to 776 of the family's 1533-position model. The record is from RNAcentral.
CUAUGCGCCUUGCCAGCCCGCUCAGGUGUGCCAGCCGCGCGGUAAUACGUAGGGGCAAGCGUUAUCCGGAUUUACUGGGUGUAAAGGGCGCGUAGGCGGGAUGGCAAGUCAGUCGUGAAAUCUCUCGGCUCAACCGAGAAACGUCGGCUGAUACUGCCGUUCUUGAGGGAUGCAGAGGAGACUGGAAUUCCCGGUGUAGCGGUGAAAUGUGUAGAGAUCGGGAGGAACACCGGUGGCGAAGGCGGCCUGCUGGACGACAACUGACGGUGAGGCGCGAAAGCGUGGGGAGCAAACAGG